Esox lucius (northern pike) is the source of this 2975-nucleotide long non-coding RNA. Lineage: Eukaryota; Metazoa; Chordata; Actinopteri; Esociformes; Esocidae. The record is from Ensembl.
GUUCACUAUGUAGUAUGAAACAUAGCAGGGUUCUAAAGACAACCCUGUUCACUAUGUAUUAUGAAACAUAGCAGGGUUCUAAAGACAACCAUGUUCACUAUGUAGUAUGAAACAUAGCAGGUUAUAAAGACAACCCUGUUCACUAUGUAUUAUGAAACAUAGCAGGGUUCUAAAGACAACCCUGUUCACUAUGUAGUAGGAAACAUAGCAGGGUUCUAAAGACCGACCUGUUCACUAUGUAUUAUGAAACAUAGCAGGGUUCUAAAGACAACCCUGUUCAAUAUGUAGUAUGAAACAUAGCAGGGUUCUAAAGACAACCCUGUUCACUAUGAAGUAUGAAACAUUGUAGGGUUCUAAAGACAAUCCUGUUCACUAUGUAGUAGAAACCAGUAGGGUUCUAAAGAGUGCCCUGUUCACUAUGUAGUAGGAAACAGUAGUGUUCUAAAGACAACCCUGUUCACUAUGUAGUAUGAAACACAGUAGGGUUCUAAAGACAACCCUGUUCACUAUGUAGUAUGAAACAUAGCAGGGUUCUAAAGACAACCCUGUUCACUAUGUAGUAUGAAACAUAGCAGGGUUCUAUAGAGUGCCCUGUUCACUAUGUAGUAUGAAACAUAGCAGGGUUCUAAAGACAACCCUGUUCACUAUGUAGUCUGAAACAUAGCAGGGUUCUAAAGACAACCCUGUUCACUAUGUAUUAUGAAACACUGUAAGGUUCUAAAGACAACCCUGUUCACUAUGUAGUAUGAAACAUAGUAGGGUUCUAAAGACAACCCUGUUCACUAUUUAGUAUCAAACAGUAGGGUUCUAAAGACAACCCUGUUCUCUAUGUACUAAAAACAUAAGAGAGUUCUAACUGGAACCCUGCUGACUAUGUAGUAGGAAAUAUAGUAUGGUUCUAAAGGGAACCCGGCUCACUAUGUAGUAGGAAACAUAGUAUGGUUCUAAAGGGAACCCUGUUCACUAUGUAGUGAGAAACAUAGUAUGGUUCUAAAGAAAUGAAGUGAAAAACUAUAUAGGAAAUAGUGUGCAGGGACCGUAGUUGUAGUCAGAAGUAUGAUAUGAGGAAUAGGGAGGCAACAUUGUGCACUAUAAUGAACAGGGUGCCAUCAGGUUCUGGUGAUAAGUAGUGAACUUUCUAAUAGUGAACAGGGUGCCAUCAGGUUCUGGUGAUAAGUAGUGAACUCUCUAAUAGUGAACAGAGUGCCAUCAGGUUCUGGUGAUAAGUAGUGAACUGUCUAAUAGUGAACAGGGUGCCAGGCUAACUCUUGCCAUAUAGAUGUGACAGUGUAACUAAAGGCUAUAGAAUCAAUUAAGUUCAGCUCCACAAAUUACCCUUAAGUUGAGCAGCAACUCCUGCUAGUAGACUGAAGCUCAGGUGCAUUGACACUGGAAAAUGCCAGGUCACAGUGUGGAGAUUCUGUGGUGCUAAAAUCCUUUAACAUCAGUGCCAGUCUACAAACAACUACGGUAACUAUUACAACUGGUGGAUUUGAGUUAAAUUGUCCAUUAUAUAUUGGUCAUUAUAGCAGUGGGAUCUCACUUUUCUUAAGGUUAAGUUACCCUCCACCUACAUGUAUUCUUAUGUGUGAGGAAGGAGAUAUGUCUUGAGUUACAAAGACAGACAGAGAGAGAUAGACUGACAGGCAGAGACAGACAGAGAGACAGAGACAGAGCGAGACAAACACUGCACUAUAAAGGGAAUAAAGGGUCACUAUAAAGGGAAUAGGGGGUUAUUUGAGACUUCGAUAUAAGCUGUCUCUAGUCCUCACAGUCCCCCAACAUAUCAUGCUUCUUGGCGGUAAGAGCCUAUACUGGAUCUAAGACAGCCUUUUUCAACCUUCUCCUAGUGGGGACACAGUCCAACCUUCUCCUACUGGGGACACAGUCCAACCUUCUAGUGGGGACACAGUCCAGUCUUCUCCUAGUGGGGACACAGUCCAACCUUCUCCUAGUGGGGACACAGUCCAACCUUCUCCUACUGGGGACACAGUCCAACCUUCUAGUGGGGACACAGUCCAGUCUUCUCCUAGUGGGGACACAGUCCAACCUUCUAGUGGGGACACAGUCCAGUCUUCUCCUAGUGGGGACACAGUCCAACCUUCUCCUAGUGGGGACACAGUCCAAACUUCUCCUAGGGGGACACAGUCCAACCUUCUAGUGGGGACACAGUCCAGUCUUCUCCUAGUGGGGACACAGUCCAAUCUUCUCCUAGGGGGACACAGUCCAAACUUCUAGUGGGGACACAGUCCAGUCUUCUCCUAGUGGGGACACAGUCCAACCUUCUAGUGGGGACACAGUCCAGUCUUCUCCUAGUGGGGACACAGUCCAACCUUCUCCUAGUGGUGACACAGUCCAAUCUUCUCCUAGUGGGGACACAGUCCAAUCUUCUCCUAGUGGGGACACAGUCCACCAUUUUUUCCAUCCCUGCACUGAAACUCCUGAUUCAACCUCUCACCUCACCACAGAGCCCUAGGUCAGCUGACUCAGGGGGUGGGUAUACCAGGAUCUGAAUGGAAAUAUAAGAACAUUAAACUGUUCAGGUUGCAAAAGGUUUUCAUGUAUUAACUACACCCUGGGUGUUGUAGAAAAUACCAGCUUAUAACCAAUAAGUGUAUAGUCAGAGGGUUGAAAACAACAUAAAUGGCACCCAAUGUUCUAGUGUCUAUGGUCUCUACAUAUAUAUCCUGUUCAGUAGGUCAGGGGGAGGAUGUCCUGGAUGGAGGUGACAGAUUGAACAUAGAUCAGAAUCGAUCAAUCCCAAUCUAAGCCUCUGGUUUGGAGAUACUGCCAAUACAUGUUCAUCCUUUCAUUCAUAUAUCAACUGUGUUCUUCUGCGUUGAGUUUACUAAAGGAUACCUUUUAAAAAGAAAUAACGUGAAUGUUUACAGUAUAUACUGUAUUUUAUGGUUUAGUAUUUUUUUUCUCCUGUUUUAUUCAAAGGAAAUGUGGCAUUUUGAUUCUUUAAAAUGAAA